CUACGGGAGGCAGCAGUAGGGAAUUUUCGGCAAUGGGCGCAAGCCUGACCGAGCAACGCCGCGUGAGUGAAGAAGGCCUUCGGGUUGUAAAGCUCUGUUGUAAGGGAAGAAUGACCAAGAUAGGGAAUGAUCUUGGAGUGACGGUACCUUACCAGAAAGCCACGGCUAACUACGUGCCAGCAGCCGCGGUAAUACGUAGGUGGCAAGCGUUAUCCGGAAUUAUUGGGCGUAAAGGGUGCGUAGGCGGUUUGAUAAGUCUGAGGUGAAAGUUCGGGGCUCAACUCCGAAUUGCCUUAGAAACUGUCAGACUUGAGUGUAGGAGAGGGCAAUGGAAUUCCAUGUGUAGCGGUAAAAUGCGUAGAUAUAUGGAGGAACACCAGUGGCGAAGGCGGUUGCCUGGCCUAUAACUGACGCUGAGGCACGAAAGCGUGGGGAGCAAAUAGGAUUAGAUACCCUAGUAGUCCACGCUGUAAACGAUGAUUACUAAGUGUUGGAGCAAUUCAGUGCUGCAGUUAACGCAAUAAGUAAUCCGCCUGGGGAGUAUGCACGCAAGUGUGAAACUCAAAGGAAUUGACGGGGGCCCGCACAAGCGGUGGAGUAUGUGGUUUAAUUCGAAGCAACGCGAAGAACCUUACCAAGUCUUGACAUACCGUGCAAAGCCCUGGAGACAGGGAAAUAGUUAUGGCGGAUACAGGUGGUGCAUGGUUGUCGUCAGCUCGUGUCGUGAGAUGUUGGGUUAAGUCCCGCAACGAGCGCAACCCUUAUCUUUAGUUACCAUCAUUCAGUUGGGGACUCUAGAGAGACUGCCGGUGAUAAACCGGAGGAAGGUGGGGAUGACGUCAAGUCCUCAUGGCCCUUAUGGGUAGGGCUUCACACGUAAUACAAUGGUCGGUACAGAGGGUCGCCAACCCGCGAGGGGGAGCCAAUCUCAGAAAGCCGAUCGUAGUCCGGAUUGUUCUCUGCAACUCGAGAGCAUGAAGUCGGAAUCGCUAGUAAUCGCGGAUCAGCAUGUCGCGGUGAAUACGUUCCCGGGCCUUGUACACACCGCC
RNAcentral lists this ribosomal RNA (1049 nucleotides) under uncultured Mollicutes bacterium. RNAcentral's name for it is "bacterial SSU rRNA". It matches the Rfam family "Bacterial small subunit ribosomal RNA", at positions 339 to 1394 of the family's 1533-position model. Lineage: Bacteria; Bacillati; Mycoplasmatota; Mollicutes. The record is from RNAcentral.